GACGAACGCUGGCGGCGUGCCUAAUACAUGCAAGUCGAACGCACUCUCGUUUAGAUUGAAGGAGCUUGCUCCUGAUUGAUAAACAUUUGAGUGAGUGGCGGACGGGUGAGUAACACGUGGGUAACCUGCCCUAAAGUGGGGGAUAACAUUUGGAAACAGAUGCUAAUACCGCAUAAAACCUAACACCGCAUGGUGUAGGGUUGAAAGAUGGUUUCGGCUAUCACUUUAGGAUGGACCCGCGGUGCAUUAGUUAGUUGGUGAGGUAAAGGCUCACCAAGACCGUGAUGCAUAGCCGACCUGAGAGGGUAAUCGGCCACACUGGGACUGAGACACGGCCCAGACUCCUACGGGAGGCAGCAGUAGGGAAUCUUCCACAAUGGACGAAAGUCUGAUGGAGCAACGCCGCGUGAGUGAAGAAGGUUUUCGGAUCGUAAAACUCUAGUUGUUGGUAGAAGAAUGUAUCUGAUAGUAACUGAUCAGGUAGUGACGGUAUCCAACCA
Molecule: ribosomal RNA, 500 nt
Filed under: uncultured bacterium
Lineage: Bacteria
Description: bacterial SSU rRNA
Rfam family: Bacterial small subunit ribosomal RNA
Source: RNAcentral